GUUCUCGGAUUUCUUCCUCCUCUCGGGUCGGUGGGAGAAGAGCCAGACAGCCUCGUCCCUGAGUGUCGAGAGAAGGAGAAGGAAAAAAGACCCUUCGGCAAGCAAAAAUAGCGCAGGGUCCAGACCUCCUCGGGAGCACGAACCCACGACAGCAAACCCGGAAGCUUCUCUGCCCCUCCUCGCUCACUCCCACCCUUCACCCUCCUCGGGUUUGCAAACACUCGAAGCCAGUAGGUGUGGACCCCGAACCGAGCCGGAUCCAGGUGGAGCAGCCACUCAGACAGGUGGGGACUGGCGUAGGUGAGGGGGCCCGUCGGGCCUGGGGGGUACUAGUGCUCCCAAACUUUCUAAGGAGGGAGGAAACUAAAGAGGCGGGGAGCAAAAUUAAAAUAAAAGAUGGAAUGUCUAGGUGAAUUAACUCGAAAUACUUUUUUUCCCCCCGGAGAAAGAGAGAGUAGUUGGAUCCAAAUUGGAGUUUGGGUAGGGUUCCGUGUACGAAGACAAACGGGAUAUUUGAUUAAAGAGAAUAUAUAUAUAUA
Peromyscus californicus insignis is the source of this 539-nucleotide long non-coding RNA. RefSeq lists it as uncharacterized. The transcript has 2 exons. Lineage: Eukaryota; Metazoa; Chordata; Mammalia; Rodentia; Cricetidae. The record is from RefSeq and is a predicted model, not a curated record.